UAUAAUACAUAUGCUGUUCUAAAGACAGCAGGCAGUCGAAAGGCUCUAACGGUAUUACCGCCUGCCGAGGAAUGGGAAUGAGAUCAAAAUCACCUCCCUUCUGUUCUUUGACAGAGGGGAUUUUUUUCUUGCUCU
Eubacterium sp. CAG:786 is the source of this 135-nucleotide non-coding RNA. NCBI's taxonomy places the organism in Bacteria, Bacillati, Bacillota, Clostridia, Eubacteriales, Eubacteriaceae. The record is from Rfam.